UUUAUACAACUGGAGAGUUUGAUCCUGGCUCAGAACGAACGCUGGCGGCGUGCCUAACACAUGCAAGUCGAACGAG
RNAcentral lists this ribosomal RNA (76 nucleotides) under Nitrospinae bacterium RIFCSPLOWO2_12_FULL_47_7. RNAcentral's name for it is "partial 16S ribosomal RNA". It matches the Rfam family "Bacterial small subunit ribosomal RNA", at positions 1 to 70 of the family's 1533-position model. The record is from RNAcentral. Lineage: Bacteria; Pseudomonadati; Nitrospinota.